RNAcentral lists this ribosomal RNA (269 nucleotides) under uncultured bacterium. RNAcentral's name for it is "partial 16S ribosomal RNA". It matches the Rfam family "Bacterial small subunit ribosomal RNA", at positions 524 to 776 of the family's 1533-position model. The record is from RNAcentral.
UACAGAGGUCUCGAGCGUUAGGCGGAAUUACUGGGCGUAAAGGGCGCGCAGGCGGCCCUUGAAGUCAGGCGUGAAAGCCCGGGGCUCAACCCCGGGUCGGCCGUGGCAACUGCUGGGCUCGAGCACUGUAGAGGCAGGUGGAAUUCCGGGUGUAGCGGUGGAAUGCGUAGAGAUCCGGAAGAACACCGGUGGCGAAGGCGGCCUGCUGGGCAGUGACUGUAAUGGUCAAUAGCUGACGCUGAGGCGCGACAGCGUGGGGAGCAAACAGG